UACCAGCACCCCGAGUGGUCGGGACGUUUAUUGGGCCUAAAGCAUCCGUAGCCGGUUUUACAAGUCUUCCGUUAAAUCCAACUGCUUAACAGGUGGGCUGCGGAAGAUACUAUAGAGCUAGGAGGCGGGAGAGGCAAGCGGUACUCGAUGGGUAGGGGUAAAAUCCGUUGAUCCAUUGAAGACCACCAGUGGCGAAGGCGGCUUGGCAGAACGCGCUCGACGGUGAGGGAUGAAAGCCGGGGGAGCAAACCGG
Molecule: ribosomal RNA, 253 nt
Filed under: uncultured bacterium
Lineage: Bacteria
Description: partial 16S ribosomal RNA
Rfam family: Archaeal small subunit ribosomal RNA
Source: RNAcentral